CGAUUGACCUCGGAUCAGGUAGGGAUACCCGCUGAACUUAAGCAUAUCAAUAAGCGGAGGAAAAGAAACCAACAGGGAUUGCCUCAGUAACGGCGAGUGAAGCGGC
This 106-nucleotide ribosomal RNA is filed under the name Ramalina fastigiata. RNAcentral's name for it is "partial 26S ribosomal RNA". It matches the Rfam family "Eukaryotic large subunit ribosomal RNA", at positions 1 to 102 of the family's 3401-position model. The record is from RNAcentral. Lineage: Eukaryota; Fungi; Ascomycota; Lecanoromycetes; Lecanorales; Ramalinaceae.